This 949-nucleotide long non-coding RNA is filed under the name Gallus gallus (chicken). RNAcentral describes it as "lncRNA (ENSGALG00010022179.1)". The record is from RNAcentral. Lineage: Eukaryota; Metazoa; Chordata; Aves; Galliformes; Phasianidae.
CUGCUGUUCCUGCUGAAAGAAAAAAGAGAAAAACAUAAAGAGGAUACAGAAUGACCACACUAAGCACUUUAAGCAAUAAACGUUUAUGCUUUUAAAAAUGGGAAAAAAUGACAUUUAAUAAGAGAAGAAAAUGAGAAUAUCAACCCCCAUAAAGCAAAUGGUGUGGAUCAGCACAGGCUCAGCUCUGCCUGAAGUGACUUGGGCUAUUCUGGUGACUUGAAAAUUCUUAUGUGAGGAGCCCUGAGUGGGAUUAUUUGCACCUAAAGCAAUUUCCAGAAUGUGAAUGGUGACCAGAACACACAGAGGCAGAAAAGCAAACGGGAAAUAGAUGGGAGAAAUCCUGCAGUGCUGGGAUGGGCAGAGCUCUGGUCACAUCAUUCACAGAAUAAAAAAUGCAGAAACUCUGAGUUCAGCCAUUCAGCAUAAGAAGUCGAUGGACAAUCUGAACUUGAGUGGAUCAAAAAGCAAUGAAAAUAUAACCAAAAUGGAACUACCUGCCCAAACACAGCAAGCGUGUAUCACAGCUAAAGAUGUCUGUAGCCCACUGAAGGCCCAUUUGAAGCACCAAAGGCUCUGCAGUUGGCUCCUUGGCAAUGCUGCAAUGGCAGCGAUGUGGCACUUCUGUGCUCAGGCUGCGUGGGGUCACGCAGGUCCUUAGGCUGCUGUAAUGUGGAGCACUGCGAAGUUUUUAAUUUCACUGUUCUGAUACUGAAAAUGCCGUCCAAAAUUAUAUCAUCUGCCUGGCAUCUACUCUACUAAGCACUGGUCAAGGAGGAUCCUAGUGUUUGCUCAGAAGCAUAUCUCCUCCUUUACUGGGGCACUGCUGACACAGGCUCACCCUACUGCUUUGCUUUGGUCCUGCCAUCUGCCCAGGAAUGGGUUGUGAUGGCACAUGGAUUUUCUUGCACGAGCAGCAGAGAACAUAGUGCAUAACACUCAACAUCUGCAG